This 1244-nucleotide long non-coding RNA is filed under the name Monodelphis domestica (gray short-tailed opossum). RNAcentral describes it as "lncRNA (ENSMODG00000045959.1)". Lineage: Eukaryota; Metazoa; Chordata; Mammalia; Didelphimorphia; Didelphidae. The record is from RNAcentral.
CUCCCCUUUCCCCUUCUAAAUCUGGGCUCCCUUAGAGGGUCCCUUGGAUGCUAAGCCUCCUGUCUGCCUCCUGUGGGCUUAUCAAGCCUGAGGCCAAAGUCACGUGCACCCAAGCCUCUUGUUUCCCUUCCCUCCUAGGGGAAGCAGGGUGGGGCUGGCUGCUGGGACAUCAGAAGUCACCAGUGACCCUCCUUCAUAGGGUCAGAGAAGAUGGGGGGGUUAGGGGCAUGGCCCCCCCAGGUGUUUUGUACAUUUUUACAGGGGUGCCCCCUCAGCCCAACCCCUCUUUCCCCCUCCCUUGUUUAAUUAAAUCCUCAGACUGGUGCUCUGUUCCCAGCCUCUCGCCUCUCUGUCUGGGGGGAGGGGGGAAAGAAGGGAAGGAAGGGAGAAAGCCUGGUGGGGAGUUGGGGUUGGGAACCCAGCAAGAGGUACCAGGGAAUUGGCUUUAUUUUCCUCAGGAAAUUGGUAACUUAGGUGAGGUACAAACAUGGGAAUGGCCUCCCUGAGUCCAUUAGUUGGGCCAGGAUAUGCCGAAUUAAUCUCACCCUGCCAUUCCAAGAGGAUGGGGAAAGUCCCCUUUGGCUGGCAAGGCCACUUCGCUCCAGCCUUAUAUCUUGUUUCUUGUCAUCCCCGGGCUUCCAAGUAGCCUAAACUCUGAAGCCUCAGAAAUUCUGUCCCUCUCAGUGUGUAGGUCCUGGUGCUCUGGACCACACUUCCCCCAGGAGUCAGUUUUCCUAUUCCCUAGAAUCUUGGGGGCCUGUUUUUCCUAAGGCAGAAUUUGGUGUCUACCUUUAUGCUGCUUCCUCCCCUCAGAGUCCCUGAAUUCCCUGGCAGGGAGGCUGAAUUCUUCAUGUCCCACAGACCAAAGAACAGGGGACUGAGCAGAGCAAGGUAGGCAGGUCCUUGGAAGUGACCUGCCUUCCUGAACUCUUCCCAACAGUAGCCCUAGCCCCAGCCUGGCCUCAGGGAGUUGCAGGUACUCCUGUGUUCUGGGCCACCUUAGAGACUAUUAAGGUGGUGGGUUUGUUCAAAAACAAAGAUAUUCAGUUGGCUCCCUCCAUGGCGUAAAUGGGGGAUGUUGGCUCUGUAAUAUUUGCGGAUAUUUAUAUAAAAAAGGAGUGUUACAAUGCAGCUUAUCUUCCUCCUCAUUGACUGUAUGCCUGGGACUGGUGGGAGGAGGGAGGAAAAGGGUGCCCAACCAGGGUGGUGUGCCUCAGGGGACAAGCUUUGGGACCAUUACACUU